UGGGGAAUAUUGCACAAUGGGCGAAAGCCUGAUGCAGCAACGCCGCGUGAGUGAUGAAGGUCUUCGGAUUGUAAAGCUCUGUCUUUUGGGACGAUAAUGACGGUACCAAAGGAGGAAGCCACGGCUAACUACGUGCCAGCAGCCGCGGUAAUACGUAGGUGGCGAGCGUUGUCCGGAUUUACUGGGCGUAAAGGGUGCGUAGGCGGAUGUUUAAGUGAGAUGUGAAAUACCCGGGCUUAACUUGGGUGCUGCAUUUCAAACUGGAUAUCUAGAGUGCAGGAGAGGAGAAUGGAAUUCCUAGUGUAGCGGUGAAAUGCGUAGAGAUUAGGAAGAACACCAGUGGCGAAGGCGAUUCUCUGGACUGUAACUGACGCUGAGGCACGAAAGCGUGGGUAGCAAACAGGAUUAGAUACCCUGGUAGUCCACGCCAUAAACGAUGAGUACUAGGUGUAGGAGGUAUCGACCC
RNAcentral lists this ribosomal RNA (466 nucleotides) under uncultured bacterium. RNAcentral describes it as "partial 16S ribosomal RNA". It matches the Rfam family "Bacterial small subunit ribosomal RNA", at positions 355 to 838 of the family's 1533-position model. The record is from RNAcentral.